Lathyrus oleraceus (garden pea) is the source of this 921-nucleotide long non-coding RNA. RefSeq lists it as uncharacterized. The transcript is spliced from 3 exons. The record is from RefSeq and is a predicted model, not a curated record. Lineage: Eukaryota; Viridiplantae; Streptophyta; Magnoliopsida; Fabales; Fabaceae.
AUUCAUGUGAAAAAUUUGAAUGGAAUAAAAGUUCAAAAAUAACACGCGCAAGAAGUAUGAACACUCAAGAAGUCAGGUCAAGCUCCACCACUAACCACGACACCGGAGGUUGCCUCCGACAACGGUGGUUCAUCAAAACAAAAAUGAAAACCAUCAUCUGAACCAUGGCAAUAAGUUGAAUACAAAUCUAGGUCCAAUUUCAUGAGAAAACCACUCAAAGAUCCAAACUAACGAGGAAUCAAAGCCUAAGAGGUUGGGGAUUUGAUUCCUCUCAUGAUUCUCAACAUCAUGGUAACAGAUAAUUGAAUAAACAUGGUAGAUUCAAGACUACCUCGUCGGAGAAGAAGUUCUGAGAAAACUUGGGACUUUGGUUAUGAGCUAUCAACUGAAAUGAUUUGGCUUGCUGCAUGGCUCUAUGUGAAUGGUCUUGUUUGACUCUUAUGAGUGACAUGAAUGCGUGUUGCAAGACCUACUUGAAUGAUGCAGGAUUCUGCAAUACGAUCUGCUGCAAGACUACUAUGCAUGUUGGAUGGAAAUGGUCAUGCUGCAGGACCUGUGUCAAUGAUGCUUAUGAAGGACGGUGCAAACAUAUCAUGAUAGAAAUCAAGGCCUACAAAAAGUGACUUAGGAUUGAAGAAAAUUAGUGAAGGCAAGCAAACUCAAGAACAUGGAAUCAUGGUGGAUAAUGGAAGAAUAAACCAAAAAUUUAGGGUUUAGGAUAUAAGAUGGGUUUAGUUGACUUAUGUCAAUUGGUUGACCAAAAAGUCAACAGUUGACAAAAAGUCAACUUAGGUAGAAAAUGGUUUUUUGUAAUCCUUUUUUAUGUAUGGACAUUUUGGUGUGAAUUGUAUGCAUUUAAAUGGUACUUGGUUUGUGGAGUGACGUUUGUGAUAUGAUUUGAAAUGGAUUGAUGAUUCACUA